GACGAACGCUGGCGGCGUGCCUAAUACAUGCAAGUAGAACGCUGAAGGAGGAGCUUGCUCUUCUGGAUGAGUUGCGAACGGGUGAGUAACGCGUAGGUAACCUGCCUGGUAGCGGGGGAUAACUAUUGGAAACGAUAGCUAAUACCGCAUAAGAGUAGAUGUUGCAUGACAUUUGCUUAAAAGGUGCAAUUGCAUCACUACCAGAUGGACCUGCGUUGCAUUAGCUAGUUGGUGAGGUAACGGCUCACCAAGGCGACGAUACAUAGCCGACCUGAGAGGGUGAUCGGCCACACUGGGACUGAGACACGGCCCAGACUCCUACGGGAGGCAGCAGUAGGGAAUCUUCGGCAAUGGACGGAAGUCUGACCGAGCAACGCCGCGUGAGUGAAGAAGGUUUUCGGAUCGUAAAGCUCUGUUGUAAGAGAAGAACGAGUGUGAGAGUGGAAAGUUCACACUGUGACGGUAUCUUACCAGAAAGGGACGGCUAACUACGUGCCAGCAGCCGCGGUAAUACGUAGGUCCCGAGCGUUGUCCGGAUUUAUUGGGCGUAAAGCGAGCGCAGGCGGUUAGAUAAGUCUGAAGUUAAAGGCUGUGGCUUAACCAUAGUACGCUUUGGAAACUGUUUAACUUGAGUGCAAGAGGGGAGAGUGGAAUUCCAUGUGUAGCGGUGAAAUGCGUAGAUAUAUGGAGGAACACCGGUGGCGAAAGCGGCUCUCUGGCUUGUAACUGACGCUGAGGCUCGAAAGCGUGGGGAGCAAACAGG
This 763-nucleotide ribosomal RNA is filed under the name uncultured Streptococcus sp. RNAcentral's name for it is "bacterial SSU rRNA". It matches the Rfam family "Bacterial small subunit ribosomal RNA", at positions 28 to 776 of the family's 1533-position model. Lineage: Bacteria; Bacillati; Bacillota; Bacilli; Lactobacillales; Streptococcaceae. The record is from RNAcentral.